This 349-nucleotide ribosomal RNA is filed under the name uncultured bacterium. Its description in RNAcentral is "partial 16S ribosomal RNA". It matches the Rfam family "Bacterial small subunit ribosomal RNA", at positions 338 to 703 of the family's 1533-position model. The record is from RNAcentral.
CCUACGGGAGGCAGCAGUGGGGAAUAUUGGGCAAUGGGGGGAACCCUGAUGCAGCGACGCCGCGUGGGUGAAGGAGUGCUUCGGCAUGUAAAGCCCUAUCGGCAGGGAAGAAGCAAGACGGGACCGGACGAAGAAGCCCCGGCGAACUACGUGCCAGCAGCCGCGGUAAUACGGAGGGGGCGAGCGUUAUCCGGAUUCACUGGGUGUAAAGGGAGCGUAGACGGCCAUGCAAGCCAGGGGGGAAAGCCCGGGGCCCAACCCAGGGACUGCCCUUGGUACUGCAUGGCUGGAGUGCGGGAGGGGCAGGCGCACUUCCUGGUGUAGCGGUGAACUGCUUCGAUCUCAGGAG